AGUGAAUAGAUACCCGGGUAGUCCACGCCGUAAACGAUGGAUACUUGGUGUUGGAGGUAUUGACCCCUUCAGUGCCGAAAGCAAAAACGCGUUAAGUAUCCCGCCUGGGGAGUACGGUCGCAAGAUUAAAACUCAAAGAAAUUGACGGGGGCCCGGCACAAGCGGUGGAGCAUGUGGUUUAAUUCGAUGCAACGCGAAAAACCUUACCUGGCUCGAAAUGUACAGGAAGACAGCAGAGAUGUUGUCGCCUUCGGGUCUGUAUAUAGGUGCUGCAUGGCUGUCGUCAGCUCGUGUCGUGAGAUGUU
Molecule: ribosomal RNA, 305 nt
Filed under: uncultured bacterium
Lineage: Bacteria
Description: bacterial SSU rRNA
Rfam family: Bacterial small subunit ribosomal RNA
Source: RNAcentral